Molecule: ribosomal RNA, 248 nt
Filed under: uncultured Eubacteriales bacterium
Lineage: Bacteria; Bacillati; Bacillota; Clostridia; Eubacteriales
Description: uncultured Clostridiales bacterium partial 16S ribosomal RNA
Rfam family: Bacterial small subunit ribosomal RNA
Source: RNAcentral
UACGUAGGGGGCGAGCGUUGUCCGGAAUGACUGGGCGUAAAGGGAGUGUAGGCGGCCUUUUAAGUUAUAUGUGAAAGCCCUCGGCUUAACCGAGGAACUGCAUAUAAAACUGGAGGGCUGGAGUACAGGAGAGGUAAGCGGAAUUUCUAGUGUAGCGGUGGAAUGCGUAGAUAUUAGGAAGAACACCGGAGGCGAAGGCGGCUUACUGGACUGCAACUGACGCUGAGGCUCGAAAGCGUGGGGAGCAA